UCUAGUUUGUUGAGUCUGUCCUCUCCAAUAUGGCCUAGCCUAAGGUGCCACAGAUACUUUUAGCUAAUUCUAUCUCUAAGUCUCUUAGACUCUAUGGAAUUCAUAAUUUACUUAUUAAUAUUUACACUCACAUCCAUAUGCAAAUGAUAAAGACCAUCAAUCAAGAAAACACGUGCAACAACUGUAUUUUUGAAAUAAACCAACACAUAUUUUUAUUAAAAUAAAAAUUAUAAUUAUCCUGUGCCAGC
This 248-nucleotide long non-coding RNA is filed under the name Elaeis guineensis (African oil palm). Its description in RNAcentral is "long non-coding RNA (EGUI_LNC058021)". Lineage: Eukaryota; Viridiplantae; Streptophyta; Magnoliopsida; Arecales; Arecaceae. The record is from RNAcentral.